CCUACGGGUGUCAGCAGUGAGGAAUAUUGGUCAAUGGGAGAGAUCCUGAACCAGCCAAGCCGCGUGAGGGAAGACGGCCCUAUGGGUUGUAAACCUCUUUUGUCGGAGAACAAAACCCGGGACGAGUCCCGGACUGCGUGUAUCCGAAGAAAAAGCAUCGGCUAACUCCGUGCCAGCAGCCGCGGUAAUCCGGAGGAUGCGAGCGUUAUCCGGAUUUAUUGGGUUGAAGGGGUGCGUAGGCGGUCUGUUAAGUCAGCGGUAAAAUUUCGGGGCUCAACCCCGGCGAGACGUUGAAAAUGGCAGACUUGAGUUGGCGAGAAGUACGCGGAAUGCGCGGUGUAGCGGUGAAAUGCAUAGAUAUCGCGCAGAACUCCGAUUGCGAAGGCAGCGUACCGGCGCCAGACUGACGCUGAGGCACGAAAGCGUGGGGAUCGAACAGGAUUAGAUACCACUGUAGGC
Molecule: ribosomal RNA, 459 nt
Filed under: uncultured bacterium
Lineage: Bacteria
Description: partial 16S ribosomal RNA
Rfam family: Bacterial small subunit ribosomal RNA
Source: RNAcentral